ACAGCACUGACAAGGCCACACCUCCUAAAACAGUUCCACUCACUGGGAAGCAAAUAUUUAAACAUUAUGAGUUUGCAGGGACCAUUCCUACUCAAAUGAUUGGGGGGGCACAAGUGAUAUCGAAGCUGAGGUGUUUUGUUUUUUGUUUGUUUUUGUUUUUAAGCAAGGAGGAGUCCUGGGAAAGGAAAUGGCAAAAAAGGGGAGGGAGUGCAGAGAGCUGGAGCCGAGGGAGCAGCACAGCUGCAUGGAGGAGAAGGAUAGGUUCAGCAGAGGGAGUAGAGCGUGUGCUAUGGAGAAGUCCAGGAGGAAAGGAGAGUAAACAUGGAGGCCCGGUGGGCCAAUCAGAAGCCUAGAGUCUGCACUUGAUUGGACAGUUUCCAUUUGAGUGCUGUUGCUGAAUUUAAAUCAAGAGACAACACAUGUUUGAACACAGAGUAAUAGGGGCAGAGAGGAAGAAGAAAUGGACUCUCCAGAGGGGAGGAGGGCUGGAGACCUGGGAGUGGGAGGUCAGCAACUCCUCCAGCAGAAGGAACCGGUGCAGGUUUGGGAGGAUACUUCUGGGGAAAGCUGGCCUACCCCACAGAGCCCAAUGGGGAGGCUCAGAAAAAAGUGAGGGUACUGGGUAGGGAGGUGGGUGAGGCAAGAAAUGGAGGGUGGUAACCCCUCUGCCUUUUAAGUGCUGGAGGUCAGAUACCUGCCCUUAGGCUGGAGCUUGGGGCUCCUUCUCAAGAGGAAAAGAAUGGAGGAAGCAGGACUUUCAAGAGGAGGAAUGGAGGGACUUGGGGCUCCAGACCCCAUCUUGAAGGUAAGAUUGAAAACCAAAAUAAAGUGAUUGACAGAAAUCUAACCUAGUCUGGUUCCCUGGACCUUCCUCUUGUCAUCUUUGCCCAUGGCCAUCUUUCCAUGGUCUCUUUGGAGAGCAGACAAGGACUAGAACUUCCAAAUGGAGGUCCCAGGUUGUUUAUAGACAGGGUCCCUUCUGCAAGACGGGUCAUCAGAUGAAGUCAUCAUUAAUGUGAACGACAUAGAAAUUCUGCCUGGGAUGUGGCUCAGUGGUAUGGUCUAUGCUUGUUCUAUUUAAGACCUAAUGUCCAAUCCCUAGUGAGGGUACCCCUAAUGUGGAGUAAACACAUAGCAGAAACAAGAGGGACCCUUGUUUCAAUAAGCUCGAAGGACAGUUGCAACUCCUGGAAGCUAUCCUCUGGCCUCUACAUGUGCUCUGCACAUGAUCUCAUGCAUAGGGUCCAGUGGAAGCCAGUUCAGAUUCACCUGCUCACUCUCAGAUUCCCCUUACCCUUAAUAGCAGUGGCUCCCCUAGGCCAGUCGUCAGCUGCUGGACCCUCCUGUGUCUAGAGGAAUAGGGCUUAGUCCUGGAGCCAGAAAAUCCAUCUGUGCCACCUGACUCACCCAGAUGCCUGAGAUGCCUAGUCACAGCAACUCUGAUUCACACAUUUCAAUCCUUCACCAGAUCCUAGACACUCUCCUGUUCCUCUCCCCGUUCCCCCAACCACCCUCUUCUCUCUCUCCAGGUGACUAAAGGACUGACCUGGGCUUUUCUGCCCUCAGAGGCAGCAUUAACACUCCUAGGUCAAUGGAUUAGACUGUGGUUGAUUGUAAAAAGUCAAAGAGAGACUUCUCUUAUGCUUGAACAAUUCCUCCUCACUCCCAUUUCUUAUGUUCAUAUGACUUGGGGGCCAAGAACAAUCUUCUCUUGAGAAGAAGGAAUUGAAAAUGAAGUCUCUCCUUAGGUUUACAUACCAUUUUCUCUCUUCAAACUCUUCUGCACACAUUACCUCACACGUUUGACCUGUACAGCCAUGUUUGUUACUGAGGCCUCUGAGACUAGAUCCUGCUUUGCCUUCCUCACCAACUUCUAGUUCUUUCUGGUAGGAGUACAGGAAAGGCUGUCUACAAAGGAAAUGCUAUGAACACUUGAAAGGGGCUCUGCCGUUCCUCAGGAGUGGUGGGAACUAGGCUAAGGGAGGCACCAGGCCUGGAACAGUAGAGGCAGAAAUUCAUAGCACACACUGGCUUUAGUGUCUCAAGGAAAUAUGUUCUAUAGGAAACACCCCAGCAUACCUGGGCCAGGCCAAAGAAGACUGAUCUUGGCUUUAAUCAGGCUUUGCUUUUCAGUGAAUGGCGCAGUAAAUGAAGAGACAUUCAUGGCAAGUGAUUUAGGUGCUUAGGAUAAGUAAUGGUUGAGUGCUUGACCCUAAACAGGACAUUAAUACCACAUGCUUUAAGGUUCGGAUAACAUCAGAGGAGUGGAAAGAAUGUGAGAGUUGGAAGUUAGGGAGAAGGACUUCAAGCAGACACAGCCAUGGCAAAUGGUCUCAUAGCAGUUACGGUGGCCUACACUGGGCCUGCACAAGGUUGCCACAUCAACAGUCAGUAACGGAUGAAGGAGGGGCUCGUAUCAAUAACCAUGCUGAGCUAUUGGCUACUGAUGGACUCUGGGGAGGGCGAGUCACUGUCUUCAGUUAUGUACCCAAUCGUGAGCCCACCAAGCUCUGGUGGGUAGUUCCAAACACAGUCUGUGCACUCCUGGUUAAAAUCAGUGGGUUACAAAGCAAAGCUAAGAGGCACGAAUGUGGGAAAGAGAUUCGUAAGGAAGAAGAGGGGGAAAUUGGGGUGACAGGAAGAUAAAAGGUAGUGAGAGAAAACAGAAUACACUAUAUACAUGAGUAAAAUUGCCAAAGGAUAAGUUUAACCAAUAAAAACAAUUCGAAAAGAUGAGAACUCAGCACUAGCAAGAGUGAAGUGAUCCGUGACCCACAAAUCCCAGCCAUAGAAUGUCUAAAAGUAAACAAAAGCGGCACCCAUCUUUGUCUGUGUGUGCCAUCACCACUGACUCCCAUUGUGACAAAGGAAUUCAUUAGAGGCAAAGUCAUAAUACCACCCAGUAUGCAGUCAGAACUCCCAUGUCCAUACACUCUUUGCUGUCUCUGGGUUUACAGGCUGUUGCUUCCUUUCUCCCUUAUAGAUGCUAUUUGUUGAAGAAACCAGGUUAUUUUCCCCACAGAGAUUACACAGUCUGGAUUGUGCUGUGUGAACUCAAAGAGAAGCUGCACCUGUUACACACUCUACAAGGCUGGCCGGGUGUUUCCUGUGACGAGCUGGAGCUGUAAUCCCAGAAGAGGAGAUGCAAUUCUGAGCAAAAGUCCUUUGCGGAGUCUGCUCCAUUCGGAGGCACAUAGUGUUUCCUGAUUCUCUGAUGCCCACGGACACUGACAGUCAGUUAAGUUCACUGGCUCUGGUUCAAGCGUCAAUGAAAAUGGCUGUGCUGGUAUUAAUGUCUGCAUUUAAUAGCUGUGAUUCCUCCAGCCUUACCUCAUCACUCCAGUCCUUUCCAGUACUGUUCCUAUAAGAUGGGUAGAUAGAACUGGCUACCCCUUUCCUUGUUCUUUGCUGCUUUUGUUGUUUUACAGUUUUCAGAAUAAGCGUUUCAGGUUCAGUCUUUUGCUGUGUAUUGUGAUGCUAAAUCUGACCCCCCAGGCCUUGUUGCCCCCAGGGACAAGAGAAUCUGCACAUCUGCAUGCACAUGAGGUAAUGCUAUGCGACCUUGCUCCUCAAUUUAAAACUAUUGGUUGAGAUACAGAUGCCUACAGCCUAUAGCUGGGCAAAAGAGAGGUAGGUAGGGUUUGGGUUCCUGGGCUUGGGGUGAAGGUGGGAAGAUCACAAGGGGGAAGAAAAAAGAAGUGGAGAAGGGACAAGAGCCAUCAGGUAGAUGAAUUAUGAAAACAUGGUCAUGAGGGCUGGUCAAUUGGGUUAAGAGCAACCCAGAUGGAGCAUGGGAAGUUGUAACUCUCGGUCAUUGAUAGGGAAGUAGACAUCAUAGCAUAGAGGGUAGACAUCUGCCCAGCUCUAGUGCUGAUUAAGACUUAUCAUACAUAUAAAAGUGGUUGUCUUUUAUCUGGGAACUGAAUGAUCUAAGGCAGAUAGAAGCCCCGAUCUGAGACUAAAUAAUUACUACACCAAAUAAGUCUGCUCUUUACCAUGUCGUCCCAGGAGACCUAUAAGCUAAGUCUUGUUUUACCGUAAACUCGUGUGUUUUAACAAUGUUGGUGCAUGUUGUCCGUCUCACUGAUUGCUCUUACUUCUGUCAAUCAUCUCAUCUUGGCUUCCUCAAAUUUGUUUCUUCCUCUAAUGCAGCCUCUGUUGUCUUUGAUAGCUCCUUUCCCUUCAGGAAUGCUAUUUUUAAGUUAUAUGUUUGAUUGUGUGUAUGUGUGUAAGUAUGUGCACACGCAUGCAAAUGAGGUCAGCAGAGCAGAGAGCCCCGGAGCUCCAGUUCACGUGGUUGUCAGCUACAAGAUGUGGGUGCUGGGAAUCAAACUCUGGCCCUCAGGAGGUACGUGCUCUCAACUGCUGAGCCCUCUCUCCAGCCCAGAAAAUGAUGUUUUUAAGUUCUUGAAUUAUCUUGACCAUCUCCUGUCUUAGACAUUGUUUGAGGAAUCCUGACUCCCUUCAGUGGGACCGCUAUCAGGGCACUAGCUGAGCAUACUGCUUAGGGAAUGUCUAUUCCACCUCUUAGACCCCAGGACGAGCCCAGAGCAUCAGAAACAGAGGGAACGUUAUUAAAGGCCGGCAGAAACCUGCUUCCUCAUUCCAUCUCUCGCUCUACCUGCAUACUGAUUUGUCACUUUGUAGGGAACAAACACCCUUCUUUGCGUCCUGCAAGCUGUCCUUGCCUCCCUUUUGCCUUUGCCCUAGUCCAUUCUCAAUAAAAGGGAUGCCUUCCAACAGCCAAUCAGAACCUAGAUUCCAUAAAGGGAAAGAAAACACAAUUACAUAAAAACUAUUGCGUGUAAAGUACACUGUAAGCUCCAAAGAUGACAAACUAGGGGGAAUUCACUUAAAUUGUAUCAGAGCAAAAGUCUCAUCUGCCUAUAAAUCAGAAUAAUUCUUUAACCGAGUAAUUCUGAACGUGUACAAAAUGACUUCAUAGAGGGUUAUUCACUCCAGCCUCCCAACAAUUAAUCCAAGUGCCCUUCUAGUAGGACUAUUUUUAAAAUGGCACAUGCAGAAUAGAGUACUGGGCCAGUGAGAUGAAUCAGUGGGUAAGGAUGCUUGAAGCCAAAUCUGAUAACCCGAGUUUGAUCCCCAGAACCCACGGGGUAGAAGGAGAAAACUGAUUCAUGUAGGAUCCUCUGACUCUCCACACAAAAUGUGGCAUCUGCAGCGCACACCUACACACAGAGAGAACAAAUAAAUGAAAAGGGCACACUCCAUACUUUAAAAAAGGAAUAAGGAUGUUCUCUGUACAUUGAUAAGAAAGAUCUCCAGGGUAUACAAUGAUUAAUCAUACUCCAGAAAUGGUGUCUAUGUGUGUGGCAGACACUGGCAAGCUAUUGUCCCCCAAAUGUUUCCUAUUUUCACCUGGGCACAAUGCAGAUAUGAUUCUUAGCGUCCUUUGUAAUCAGAUGAGUUAUCGACUGAGUUCUGACCAAGAGGAUGUAAAUAAAAGUGGCUGAACGCCACUUAUUAGAGGUGAUCGAUACUGGGAAGCCUUACAAAAAUGAAUCAGGGCAUGUAGGGGAAGUCCAGUGGCAGCUGCAUCCCCAGGUUGAGUAAAACACAUGUGGACAACAGGGACAGCUCCCUUGCUGUUAGGCAAAAGCAGUGUAAACACAUGAGGAGGCAGAACAAGGCCAGUGUGGAGCAGGCUGGAAUUGGAAGUAGUGGUAUAGUUCCUUCAUUUAGUAGAGAAAGAGGGCCAAGAAGGGGACAGAAGGGGAAGAAGUGCAAGAAGGAGGUAGAGAAGCCAGAGAGCAGCAAGACUCCCGUGUAAGCCAGUGCAACUGGGCCUCACGUGGUGCUGUAUUAGAAGAUCCAGGAGCCCAUGUGUGAUGGUUUAUAUUUGCUCUUCUCCAGAAGUGGCACUAAUAGAAGGUGUGGCCCCGUUGGAGUAGGUGUGGUCUUGUUGGAGUAGGUGUGUCACUGGGCAUGGGCUUUAAAACCCUCAUCCUAGCUGCCUGGAAUGGAGUAUUCUGCUAGCAGCCUUCAGACAAAGAUCUGAACUUUCAGCUCCUCCUGCACCAUGCCUGUCUGGACACUGCCAUGUUCUUGCCUUGAUGAUACUAGACUGAAACUCUGAACCUGUAAGCCAGCUCCAAUUAAAUGUUGUCCUUCAUAAGACUUGCCUUGGUCACGGUGUCUGCUCACAGCAGUAAAACCCUAACUAAGGCACCAUGGGAAAUGACUGAGUCUAUUAAAAAAUUAAAAUUAAUUAAUUAAUUAGUUAAUUAAAUUUUAAAAAGGCGAGCCUAGAUUUUUUAAUAGCAGGAAAUAAAAUAUUCAUAGAAUAAUGAGGAAAUAUGAAAAGACUUAAACAGUAGCUAGAACUUGUCAAAUAGGGUAAAAUUUGAAUUAUCAAGCAUACUCCUAGAUGAACAGGUACAGGCAAACAGUGAGUGCUGAGUGAGGGAGGCUCUGUCUUCUCCAGGGUAAGCCUGGGUUCUCCAACCCCACCUGGUCAGCCUUAAACACAUGUGCAUGUUAGAAACACUAAGUAGACCCAUUAGGUUUUACAUAUAGAUGAGCCCACUAUGUGGGAAUCUGGGAACUGAACCCAGGUCCUCUGCAACAGUAGCAAGUUCUCUGAACUGCUGAGCCAGCUCUCCUGCCUCUGAUGCAUAUACAUGUUUAAACCCAGCCUGAUAGAAUGGGUAUGUAUAGGAGAAUGAAUGGGUAGAGCCAUAGUAGGGCCAGACUUCUCAAUAUAAAAUACGAGUUUUAUUUUAAACUACAUAAUCAUAGUUAACUCUCCAGGAAAUAAAGCAGUUAGAAUACACUUAGCAGCCGCCUGGUGACCAGAGGACAAAUGUUCAGGAGAACAGAGAGGAAGGGUUAUUCUCAGGCUAAGGCUAGCAAAGGAUCUUCAGAGAAGGUAUCUUCUCAUCCUUAUGAUUACCCUCUGUGUAUGCCCCUCAAACUUUCCCUGCUGUCCUCAUUUCUAGUUUAUCCCCCAAGCCCACCCCAGAUCCUCAGGUGCUGUCCCUGCCAUCAGCACACAAAGGUACUUACUAUGCACCCCAGGUAACCCUGAGCACUCCGCAUACUUGUGGCAUUGUCUGGUUCACCUGUAGCCACCCUGUGACAUUCCGAGCAGCCCUUGGAGAACAGUAUGAAACACUACCUUCUCUGUAGAAACCUUGCUGGCCCAGGCCUGGGAAUCGCUUCUCCUCUGGGCUCUCAGGGCCCUUGUCAUCUGGUCACCAUUCAGCUGUUAAGACAUCAGACUGCAGUGACCUCACCAGUGCCUCAGGAAGGCUUGUCUUCUUCACCAAGCACUCAGACCAGGCUGGAAGGGGACAAGUGACCCAUAAACUUUAACAUAAUUAAAACAGAUAAAGAAAAGUUCUCGUGAAAAUACUAGACCAAGACAAUCAAGAAAAGGAUGGGUUUGAAGAGGGUGGGUACUCUUCAGGCUCCUCAGAGCCCUGGUGCUCAGCCUGUUGGACCUCUCCUCCAGCUCUGCUGCUUUCAAACACAUGGUUCUGGGUCCCUUGGGAAUGAGAAGUGUUUCCUGGGGAAAGGGUGCAAAAGAAUGGAGUAGUUGACUCAGGCCAUAGUGGCAGCUGCCGCUAUGUAAAAGUAGCUUUUCAGCCCCCCAAAUACGGCAACGGUGUGUUCUCCCUCUUUCCUGACAAUCAAAAUUGCAGCGAACGAUGGAAGCAAAAAGUGCAAGCCUUUCUCCUCCCCUUCUUUGAGGUCAGAUGUCUGUGUUCUUGUAACCACAGAAACCCAGAGAACAAUUCUCAUGUGCUUCUUUCAAACGGGAAAGAGCCGUCAUCACCUCCCUCCCUCCAAAUCAUCCAAGUUCAGAGUCACGCCACAGCCAGGAGAAAGAGGCAGUGGUUAUGUUUGGAAUGUAACACUAGAAGGCACAGCAGCCCCCCUUAUCAGCAAUUUUUUUCCAUGGUAUUACCUCCUGUGAACUCCCGUCUGAAAAGUUAAAUGGAAAAUUCAGAAAUAAGCAGUCUAUAAGUUACAAAUAACUUUCAUCGGAGUGUAUUAUCAUCGUUGUUCUGUUGCAUGAAUAGCUGUGUACUCUUUCAUUGUGCCUUGUUUAUGAACUAAAAGUUACUGGGCGUGUGAACAUAUAGGAAAAAGUAUACUGUACCAUGUAUGGAUGGGGGGUUGACAUUCUUAUCCAGGGCUCUAGAAGUAGCCCUUAGCCUAGAAUGAAUUUUGAUGUUUGGUAUUGAGUAACUUAACUUCAAUGAGAUGCUGGUAAGUGAUAAGCCAACAUAUAUGUAUUUAUGUAGCAUAUGUAUGUUUAUUUAUUUAUGAUUAUUUAUUCAUGUAUGUGUAUAUAGGUGUUUUGUCUGCAUGUAUACCCACCAGAGAAAGGUAUCAGAUUCCACAGGACAAUUACAGUCCCACAAUACAGUUGUGAGCCACCAUGUGGGUGCUGGGAAUUGAACUCAGGACCUCUGGAAGAGCACCCAGUGCUCUUAACUGCUAAUCCAUCUCUGCAGCCCCAAAGCUGGCUUUUACAUCAUUAUCCUGUGGCUGGCCACUGUCUCAGUCUGGAUGGCAGUGCACAUCUGUCCCACACCACUGAAAAGGUGCACAUUGUGGAGAUGGAUGAGACCUGGCAAUAAACUCCUCCCCGAGCCCCAGCAGGGAAGAUAGUAUUGCUGGGAGUGCUUGCCCACAGCACACUUCUGGCUUAUGGUCAGAGCGCCUCUGGGUUUCUGUGUGUUUAGUGAGGUCAUAUUCUCCUCCGCAUGAAGCUAUGAGUCAGCAUCAGAUCACACCGGUCUGCCAGCCCCUUGUGUCACUGUCCACAUCAUAAUCCUCGAGGUAUCCUGUCACCAUCCUGAACGCUUAGCCCUGGAGCUGCCUUCACAGAGGCUGCCAUCCCUCACCUUCCCCUCUCAGCUUCUUUCAUCCUAACUCCAUUUCCCCUGUCUCCUUUCUCCUUAUCUAAGAUGGCUACCUCCUGGCCAGCACCUCUGCCUCUUAUUUCCACAGCCAUGCAGGACACCAGACCCUUAACUCAUCACCAUCACCCACAAAAAGCCUGACAGGCCACUGGGUCUGUUACUCUCGCCAACAACCCCCUUCUCUGUCCUCUGGUGUGUUCUUGCUGCCCAGCAUCUUCAGGGCCCCCCGCCCCCAGCCAACCUGCUCCUUCCUACCUGUGUGCCCUUCUUCAGCAGACUGCCUGGCACCCCCAGACCACACCGCCAUCCUUGUCAGUACAUCCAUUUGUUCAGUCUUACACUCAGCACCUCCCCCUUGCUACCGUAACUCUCAUCAGACACCCCCACACACACACACCAGGUUCUCUCACUCACCUUACCAUGGCACCCCUUUUCACAUCUGGUUUCCUUGCUAGGGGUCUGAGACACUGAGACACUGACUUGGCCUUCAUCAACUUAAGGUCAUUCUAGGGUGUCACUUAGCACUUCUAUCUACAGUAUGGCUGUGCUAUUCCAGAUGGAGAGAGUGGACCAGCUUUAGUCUUUCUGGCUGUCACUUUCUCUGGGACCUCAUGAUUCAUCUCUCCCACAGGUGAGCUUUCCCUUCCAUCCCCAGGCCCUCCAUCCCACUGCUGAUACUCAAAGUCACAUGUGAUGUCAUCUGCCAGUCUCUCGAAGCUGACUGUUAAGGACUUUGGCCCCAUCCCUUCUCUGCAGCAGAACUGGCCCCUAACAUUGGUGAGCCCUGACUUCCUGGCCCAUGUGAAGGAUACCUAGGUAUUGGAACCUGUAAAAAAGACCACUUAAGCGCUUCUGUCAAGUAUGAAAAGCAAGGCAGGGAUCUGAACUUGUGGUUCUGAUUUUCCAAGGUCACCGGUGUUCCCAGGACUCUAGAGAGAGUGAGUUUGCCAUUGGCCGCAGGUGAAAUCACACAGUCCCUAAGCCUUGCUUCCUUUCCUUCAAGGCUGCAAGACUGGUGUACCAGGAAGAUGCCAAAAAUCCUUAUCUGCACUUCAAACAAGGUGUGUUUUAAUAGCCAUGUGAGCAAGGAGGAAAAAAAAACAACAUCUACAUUGAGGCAAAAUCAGGAGGAUUUGUAACUGGUGGUCUGUGCUAAGUAAUGCUGAAUAUUGGAUGGAUCUCUGUAGGAGGAGAUGUUCGGUAAAGGUCCGAGACCAGCUGCAUUUGAUGCUUCUCCAAUUUCCUAAUGACAAUACAGACAGGGCACUUACAGACACAGAGAUAACCGACAGAAGGCAUUUGCAGACAUGUAGAUGAUACAGACAGAACACGUCCAGACAUGUAGCUGAUUCAGACAGAACGUUUACAGACACAAAGAUAAUAUAGACAGAAUGUUUAUAGAAUGUAGACAAUAUAGACAGGGAGUUUGCAGACAUAUAGAUGAUGAUUAUGAGUGUGAUUGUGGGGCUGGGGAGGUAGGUCAGCUGAUAAAGUGCUUGUUGUAAAAGUAUGGUGACUGGAGUGUGAUCUCCAGGGCCCAGACACAGUGGUUCAUGCUGUAACCCCAGGGCUGGGAUAGCAGAGCCUGGACACAGUGGUUCAUGCUGUAACCCCAGGACCAGGAUAGCAGAGCCUGGGCACAGUGGCUUAUGUUGCAAUCCCAGUGCCAGUCCAUAUUAAUCAGUGAGCUCCAAGUCAUUGAGACACUGUGACCCCCCCCCUUUCAAACAAAACAAAAACCAAAACAACCCAUCAAACAAAAAAACUAAAGUAGAUGACGCCUGAGGAGUAGCACCUAAAGUUGACCUUUGUCCUCCACACUUUGAACAUACAUACAUGUGUCUGCACACACAAUAGCACGCAUGCACAUACUCCACAAAGUGAUCUUAGGAUAACUAAUUAGAAUUCAAAUCAGCUCAUUGAUGGAUUCCAGCAAGGAAAAUUCAUCAAAAACAAUAUUGAGAGCUAGCAGCAGUGACACACACCAAUAAUGUCAGCACCUGCAGAGGUUAAUGCGGGAGGACUAAGGGUUCAAGACCAGUCUUCUAUGAUACAGCACUUCUGAGAAGACCUCACAGACAAACCAACAGAUCAACGAUAGUCAACAGAAGUUAUGGAGAAAAAUGAUAGUAGGUUCCACCUGAAGUUCAAAGUGAGGAGAAACUAACUGUCCCUUGUUUAGAGGAAUGCCCAUGGGGGUGGAAGAUGGAGAAAAGCAAGAAAAAGUUAGGAAAAAGUUAAGAGCUGUAGGAAUGGAGCAAACUGUCCAAAGCAGGCUUUCGGCGGGGGAGGGGGGCGGUGCUGUUCUGAUCUUGGUUAGGGAUGUCUGUCAUUUGGUGACUCUUUAAAUGACUGUAUUUGUUCACAUACUCUUUUAUAUAUUCGUUGCUAAUCUUUUUAAAGGGAUACCUUUAAAGUCUUAUACCAGAGUGCAGGAAAUAUCAAAUCCCAGAAUAAUCCAGUCAAGCAGAGCAUCCUCUGUGCCAUGCUCUGCCCAUCUCAGGUCCUGGCUGGAGACCCUGCAGAGCCCAAGGGCUGUUCUGAGGACUCAGGCGUACUGGAGUUGUUGGGGGCCCACACCCCACAGGAUGUGAGGAGCCUGCUUUCCUAUUGGAUUGUAACAAAUGAAGUGUUGAGGAGUGGCCACAGGUGGCAGCUGACAGCUGUUUUCAAACCUCCCAAGCUGUUAUUCUACAGGGGAAUCUGGCCUGGUCUCUGCAGUGCCAGAUGCCAGGAUGGCGACUAGCUGAAUCCACUGUGUGGCUGACCCUGGAUAAACAGCCUAACUUCCUAACAAAAGAAAACCUGUGCGAAGUCCUGAGCUCCUGUCCCAGACAAGGUUCAGGUCUCCUGUUUAGGCCACUGCAAAGGGUACCCCAGAAAAGUAAGAGAGCUCAGAUAAUCCCUGAAGUCCCUUCACCUUCGAUCCACGAGAUGAGACUGUGACACUUGUACUUUGUGUGCACAUAAGAGAAACAGACCCUGGACCAGCCUUGUUUUCGAAUACAAGCGCCAUGUCUUCUUGAUAGCAAGACUGUUUUUUAAAGUCAAUGAGUGUUGUUGUAUUUCUACUAAUCCAAUGAUAAAGUGAUCUGAGACACCACUGCUGCCCAAGAGUGUAAGUCGUCCAGAUGGCUGCAGGAUACUGUGUUCAACAGCUAGAGUAUUUGCAGGAGUGUGAUGGGGAUUCACAGACUUACCAGAAACAGAAACCGAGACUGGCUUGCUCUCUCCUGCCCUCUGCUGGUCCUCCCCUCCAUCUCUAAUUUGUGUAGGAUGCUGAUGGUCCCUGAUUGGGAGGGUACAAAUUAAGAGCGUCUAUCCCCCAGAGAUACAAAGUUCCAGAGAACGACAAACCUUUGGAUAAGGGCUUGGAGAAAGCCUGUCAAUUCAAAUCAACAAGAUCCUGCUUAGAACUGAGAGGUCGUCUGUGAGCAAUGGAAGCACUUGAAGCCAACCUAUAAAAAUGUGGACAUUUUUAUCUAGAGCUCUAGAUUUUUAACACCAUAUUAGUGAGUGAUCAUGGUGUCUUAAAAUAGAGAGCAAGAAGUGGUUUGUACAACUGUAGUCCUGUUCCAAGACAUGGCAGUGUGGGUCUUGCCAAGUGACAGCAAAGCCAGUCACCUCCACAGCCUUUUAAGGCACAACUCAAAAGGGACACACAGAGCACACAGAAGUGAAUCCAUAGACUUUCAGGGUGGCAGCAGUUCCUCAAUACUCAGCAUCCUUCAAGAACCUAUGGCUGGCCUGGGGUAGGCAAGGUCCAAGUCCUAGGGAGAGAUAAGCAGGUCAUCUCCCAGCGAGGCUUCACUGUGCCUGCAGGUCCAUCUUUGGUAUGGUCUCCCAUAGAGACUGAACCUGCCUGGGGAGUUCCAUAGACAGGACACAGGUUGGAACUGUCCACAGUGGCCAGGCGAAGAGACAAUGCUACAGUUGACCAAACUGAACAGGCCUCAUUUGGUGCAUAGAAUUUCCUUCUGGUUAAAUGAAGCAACAGGAGAAAGGUGGGUUACAGGCAAAGUAAAUUGAGCCUUCACUAGGAAGACUGGCCUACCAAGGCAAGUGGGCUCCAGACUCAGGGACAGGCAUAAAGGAGAUACUAGAAAUCACCCUGGAUCAGAUGUGGCAUCUACUACUUGUUCUGAGAGAGCUCCAAGAACCCACAGGAGAACCUUGAACAAUAGCACUGUGUCAUCUGUUCUUGGAGACCACCAGCACCCAGACAGCCUUUCCCCCUUUAUCCAGUCCCUAACCUCUACCCCAUCCUGAACUAUUCAGUAGCUGACCCCUUAGAGCUGGCUGCUGGGGAAGAGGCAGAGGGAAGGUUCAGGCCUGGAGGUGGGGAAGGGGGCUUGAAGAUAUAUAUGAUUGUUUCAUUAGGAAGUUUUGGUUAAAAUGAGAAGAGAAAUGUUUUAAAAGGAAGCAGUUCUUGGGGCUGGAGAGAUGGCUCAGCAGUUAAAAGCACUGGCGGCUCUUCCAGAGGUCUUCAGUUCAAAAUCCCAGCAACCACAUGGUGGCUCACAACCAUCUGUAAUAAUAUCCAAUGCCCUCUUCUGGUGUGUCUGAAGACAACUACAGUGUACUUAUAUAAUAAUAAAUAAAUAAAUCUUUAAAAAAAUUA
This is a non-coding RNA of Rattus norvegicus (Norway rat), 13512 nucleotides long. The record is from RefSeq and is a predicted model, not a curated record. NCBI's taxonomy places the organism in Eukaryota, Metazoa, Chordata, Mammalia, Rodentia, Muridae.